RNAcentral lists this ribosomal RNA (439 nucleotides) under uncultured bacterium. Its description in RNAcentral is "partial 16S ribosomal RNA". It matches the Rfam family "Bacterial small subunit ribosomal RNA", at positions 338 to 794 of the family's 1533-position model. The record is from RNAcentral.
CCUACGGGAGGCAGCAGUGGGGGAUAUUGCACAAUGGGGGAAACCCUGAUGCAGCGACGCCGCGUGGGUGAAGAAGCGCCUCGGCGCGUAAAGCCCUGUCAGCAGGGAAGAAAAUGACGGUACCUGAAGAAGAAGCCCCGGCUAACUACGUGCCAGAAGCCGCGGUAAUACGUAGGGGGCAAGCGUUAUCCGGAUGUACUGGGUGUAAAGGGGGCGCAGACGGCGGUGGAAGCCAGGAGUGAAAGCCCGGGGCCCAACCCCGGGACUGCUCUUGGAACUGCGUGGCUAGAGUGCAGGAGGGGCAGGCGGAAUUCCGGGUGUAGCGGUGAAAUGCGUAGAUAUCAGGAGGAACACCGGUGGCGAAGGCGGCCUGCUGGACUGCAACUGACGUUGAGGCCCGAAAGCGUGGGGAGCAAACAGGAUUAGAUACCCGAGUAGU